This is a long non-coding RNA of Chenopodium quinoa (quinoa), 854 nucleotides long. RefSeq lists it as uncharacterized. Lineage: Eukaryota; Viridiplantae; Streptophyta; Magnoliopsida; Caryophyllales; Amaranthaceae. The record is from RefSeq and is a predicted model, not a curated record. The transcript is spliced from 3 exons.
AGAACCACCCUUUAUGUGAGAACUAGCAUUUAUAUGAGAAUCAAUACCAACCGUUAGAUUUUAUGAAAUUCAACCGCUAAGAUCUCCACUCUCACGUUCUCUUUCCUCUCCUUUCUCUCUCCUCCUCUCCAUUUUCUCACGCAUCUCUCCUCUCCAUUGUCUUUGAAGCUUCAGAAGCGGCUCACCGCCGAUAUUCUCAAGUGUGGUCGUGGUAAGGUUUGGCUUGAUCCUAAUGAAGGCAAUGAAAUCUCCAUGGCUAAUUCUCGUCAAAAUAUCAAAAAGUUGGUUAAGGAUGGUUUCAUUAUUAGGAAGCCUGCCAAGAUUCAUUCAAGGUCUCGUGCUCGUCGUAUGAUGAAGGCGAAGAGGAAGGGUCGUCACUCAGGAUACGAGUCAUCAGCCAUUGUGUCAUGGGCUUUCAAGAAAGAGUUGUGGAGCAUGGUGAUGUGAAGCAAGAUGAUCAAUCAAGGGCUCUCAGCCUGCAUGCAUUUUCUGAUUUGUCAUGCGUUUCACCCGUUGUAUUUCUUUUUUUAUUAAAAGAAUCUUAUAUCUAUGGUAGUACUUCUGUGUUGCACAAUAUUAUUAGGUGGUAGUUAAUCACGAUUAUUUCUCAUGUUCUUUACUCUUCUUUAAAUAUUUUUUGUGAACUAACUAUUGUCUUGCGGACUCUUGCCUUUUCCUGUUCUAUUGAGUUACUUCAAAUACUUUAAUCUGUAUCAUACAGGUAGGCGGCAAGUUCAUUUGUCUCUUGCUCUAAAGUUAUAGGCAUCUGAAAUUCUGGUUGUAAUAAAUGCUGAUUUAUGUUUUUUUUUAUUUUCCUGGAGCAUUCGGUAUAGUGCAUAGUCAUUAGUCAUGCA